ACGCAUUGUGUUUCUCUCUACACAGAUGGCAUCAGCUCUAGUUGUCGGUGUGCUCCUCUGUGGGGUGUGGCUUGGACCCCAUGUGCAGGCACAAGAACUAGAUAAAACCUGUAAAGUCUGUCCUUCUGGCUGGGCAGUGUUUGAUGGACGCUGCUACUUAUUCAACAUGCAGGAAAAGGAAUGGAUCGACGCUGAG
This is a long non-coding RNA of Sphaeramia orbicularis (orbiculate cardinalfish), 196 nucleotides long. RefSeq lists it as uncharacterized. NCBI's taxonomy places the organism in Eukaryota, Metazoa, Chordata, Actinopteri, Kurtiformes, Apogonidae. The record is from RefSeq and is a predicted model, not a curated record. The transcript is spliced from 3 exons.